This 484-nucleotide ribosomal RNA is filed under the name uncultured bacterium. RNAcentral describes it as "partial 16S ribosomal RNA". It matches the Rfam family "Bacterial small subunit ribosomal RNA", at positions 28 to 523 of the family's 1533-position model. The record is from RNAcentral.
GACGAACGCUGGCGGCGUGCUUAACACAUGCAAGUCGAACGAUGAACCCGGAGCUUGCUCCGGUGGAUUAGUGGCGAACGGGUGAGUAACACAUGAGUAACCUGCCCUUGACUCUGGGAUAACUGCGGGAAACUGUAGCUAAUACCGGAUACGACCCUCGGCGGCAUCGCCAGGGGGUGGAAAGAAUUUCGGUCAAGGAUGGACUCGCGGCCUAUCAGCUAGUUGGUGAGGUAACGGCGCACCAAGGCGACGACGGGUAGCCGGCCUGAGAGGGUGACCGGCCACACUGGGACUGAGGCACGGCCCAGAAUCCUACGGGAGGCAGCAGUGGGGAAUAUUGCACAAUGGGCGCAAGCCUGAUGCAGCAACGCCGCGUGAGGGAUGACGGCCUUCGGGUUGUAAACCUCUUUUAGUAGGGAAGAAGCGAAAGUGACGGUACCUGCAGAAAAAGCACCGGCUAACUACGUGCCAGCCGCCGCCGUAA